RNAcentral lists this long non-coding RNA (254 nucleotides) under Homo sapiens (human). Its description in RNAcentral is "non-protein coding lnc-LGALS9C-1:1". The record is from RNAcentral. Lineage: Eukaryota; Metazoa; Chordata; Mammalia; Primates; Hominidae.
UUACCUGACUUACAUCAAGCUGUCAAUGGCAAUCAAGCGUAAUGAGAGCAUGGCCAAAGGUCUGCAGAGGGCUCUGCUGCAGCAGCAGCCAGAGGAUGACAGCAAGUGCUUCCCCCGGCCCCAGGACCUGAUCUGGCUUUAUGACAUCAUCUUACAGAAUCUGGUGGAAUUGCUCCAGCUUCCUGGUUUAGAGGAAGACAAAGCCUUCCAGAAAGAGAUAGGCCUCAAGAUUCUGGUGUUCAAAGCUUACAGGU